AAUGAACGUUGGCGGCGUGGAUUAGGCAUGCAAGUCGUGCGGAAAGGCUCCUUCGGGAGUACUCGAGCGGCGAAAGGGAGAGUAACGCGUGGAUACUUACCCCCUGGUCCGGGAUAGCGGCGGGAAACUGCCGGUAAUACCGGAUGAUAUCUCCGGAUCAAAGGUGUGAUUCCGCCGGGGGAUGGGUCCGCGUCCUAUUAGCCUGUUGGUGGGGUAACGGCCUACCAAAGCUGAGAUGGGUACCGGGUGUGAGAGCAUGGCCCGGCUCACUGGGACUGAGACACUGCCCAGACACCUACGGGUGGCUGCAGUCGAGAAUCUUCGGCAAUGGGCGCAAGCCUGACCGAGCGACGCCGCGUGCGGGAUGAAGGCCCUCGGGUUGUAAACCGCUGUCAGAGGUGCGGAAAUGCAUGGGGGUUCUCCCCGAUGUUUGACCUACCCUCAGAGGAAGUACGGGCUAAGUUCGUG
RNAcentral lists this ribosomal RNA (468 nucleotides) under uncultured bacterium. RNAcentral's name for it is "bacterial SSU rRNA". It matches the Rfam family "Bacterial small subunit ribosomal RNA", at positions 28 to 507 of the family's 1533-position model. The record is from RNAcentral.